This 253-nucleotide ribosomal RNA is filed under the name uncultured bacterium. RNAcentral's name for it is "partial 16S ribosomal RNA". It matches the Rfam family "Bacterial small subunit ribosomal RNA", at positions 524 to 776 of the family's 1533-position model. The record is from RNAcentral.
UACGGGGGGGGCAAGCGUUGUUCGGAAUUACUGGGCGUAAAGGGCUCGUAGGCGGCCAACUAAGUCGGAUGUGAAAUCCCCAGGCUCAACUUGGGAACUGCAUCCGAUACUGGAUGGCUUGAAUUCGGGAGAGGGAUGCAGAAUUCCAGGUGUAGCGGUGAAAUGCGUAGAUAUUGGGAGGAACACCGGUGGCGAAGGCGGCCCUCUGGACCGGUACUGACGCUGAUGCGCGAAAGCGUGGGUAGCAAACGGG